UUAAGUCCAAUUAGAUGCCCUGAAUUCAUAAUUGAUAUCUGUAUGAAGUAGUUUGAUUGUUUGAACUUAGUUUCAUUACGAUACAUCACUUGAUCAAAAUUUGAAUCGACGAUCUGACCGUUGGAUCGUCACCAAACUUUAAUGCAUUAUAGAACGUAAUAUUUGAAGAUAGUUGGAACUGAUGGAUCAGGAAUCUGAUGUAUGAAUCUUCCUGGAUUGGAUUUCUAAGUUAGUAAAAUUAAUUGUUAACCGCCACCUAAUUCUAGCAAUUGGCGGAGAUCUGACCGUUGGAUCUCGAUGAGAAUUUAGUAUGUUGUUCUAUGAGAAUAAUAAGGACCCUAAGAAGUUACAGGUCCAAAAUCCGGUGGGCGGAUCUUUCGGAUCAAAUUACGUGGAGUUGCGAACCCUACCAUUGACCGAGAGUUGACUUUUGGUCAACAUGUCUCGAAACGUUCUGGAUGCUAGAAUUGGUAUUACCAAGGACUAAGUGAAGUCUAGUGGACCCACAUUGGUUAAAGAGUGACUUAAAUAUAGGGGGUAGGGUUAUUACCUUAAAUUCUUAUAUUAGUAUCCGUUGUGAAUACGAAUUGGUUUUAUAAGUGUGAUUUCUAUUGAAAUGUGAUUUUUUUAUAUUUAGCCAUAGACCUAUGUUUAUGAAACAUGAUUUGGCUUGUGUAUUGAUGAUGUUUGUGAUAUAUAUAUAUAAGUGUGUUUAAUUAUCUUUUUAAUAAUGUGAAUGAUAAUUAUGAUGAAUGUUAUGACAAUUAUGGGAUCGACAUAUUGUUUGAUAAUUAUUUGGAUAUGAUUGCAAACUGAAUACCGAUUUGAACUUGGCAUUACUACCUUGCAUGAGAUGGAGAUGAAAGUUAGGAGAUGAGUUAGGUACUUUAUUAGAUUUUGAGUAGAAAUAGUAAUUAAGGGAAUUCCUUGUAUUAUGCUCCAUAUGACUAGAUGCUGGUUGA
Molecule: long non-coding RNA, 962 nt
Filed under: Malus domestica (apple)
Lineage: Eukaryota; Viridiplantae; Streptophyta; Magnoliopsida; Rosales; Rosaceae
Description: long non-coding RNA (MDOM_LNC000577)
Source: RNAcentral